RNAcentral lists this ribosomal RNA (278 nucleotides) under uncultured bacterium. RNAcentral describes it as "partial 16S ribosomal RNA". It matches the Rfam family "Bacterial small subunit ribosomal RNA", at positions 524 to 799 of the family's 1533-position model. The record is from RNAcentral.
UACGUAGGGACCGAGCGUUGUCCGGAUUCAUUGGGCGUAAAGAGCUCGUAGGCGGCUAUUCAAGUCGAACGUGAAAUCUCGGAGCUCAACUCCGAAACUGCGUUCGAUACUGGGUAGCUAGAGUCUGGUAGGGGGAUCUGGAAUUCCUGGUGUAGCGGUGGAAUGCGCAGAUAUCAGGAGGAACACCGGUGGCGAAGGCGGGAUCCUGGGCCAGUACUGACGCUGAGGAGCGAAAGCGUGGGGAGCAAACAGGAUUAAGAAACCCCGGUGAGUCCCAG